Paenibacillus sp. FSL H7-0737 is the source of this 104-nucleotide regulatory RNA element. It matches the Rfam family "TPP riboswitch aptamer (THI element)". From Rfam's summary of the family: Vitamin B(1) in its active form thiamin pyrophosphate (TPP) is an essential coenzyme that is synthesised by coupling of pyrimidine and thiazole moieties in bacteria. The previously detected thiamin-regulatory element, thi box was extended, resulting in a new, highly conserved RNA secondary structure, the THI element, which is widely distributed in eubacteria and also occurs in some archaea. The record is from Rfam. Lineage: Bacteria; Bacillati; Bacillota; Bacilli; Caryophanales; Paenibacillaceae.
UUAUUUCACUAGGGGAGUCGGCCGACUGAGACGGAGCUUCAAGCUCCGGACCCUUGGAACCUGAUCUGGAUCAUACCAGCGGAGGGAAGUGGAGCAGAAUUUUC